CCAAUUUUUCUCUGGACUUUCACGUAGACCUAAAUUUGGCCUUCUUUUUGUUUUAAAAUAAUUUUAUUAGGUGUCCAAUCACACCUAUAAAAAAGGAUCGGUGGCGACUCCCUUUGUUAAUAAAAUCGAAAGUUAGUUUUCAAAUGUUUAAUAAAUCGCCACAAUUAGCGACCAAGCAAAACUAAUUUUUUUUACGUCACUACAAGACUAAUUUGAAAUAAUUCUAGAAAUUUAAGGUGAAAUCUCAAAUGCUUAAAAACUGGGGACACGCGACCGUGUGCCCAGGCCUUGUGGAAUGCCCCAGAUCGUGUGACUUUCGAAGUUAGGACAUAUGGCUGUGUCUCAGCUCGUGUAACUCACUGCUUGGGUCACACGUCCGUGUCACAAGCCAUGUAUCAGACCAUAUGAAAACUACACUUAUACUGUUUGUAAGUAUCCAAAUCUGUCCGGGCCCAACAACCAAAAAUCAAUCCCAAAACAAAACAAAAAUAUUAAAAUCCAAAUCAAAAGUCCAUCAGUCCAAAUAUUACAAAACAACCCAAAACAAUUACAAUAGCCCAAUACCCAAAAACCCAAUUCUAAACCCAAGCAAACCCAUAACCCAAUACCCAAAUAAAACAAACUGGGCCUAUGUGGCCUAAGACCAGAUUAUCCACAGAAACCUUAGGGUUUCCACCUUGGCGCCACAGCCUUCAGCCUCCGUACGCUCCCAUGCACGACCUCCAUACACCCCAGCGCCGCUCGUGCCUCCACGUCCUCCCCCAUAUCUUCAUGAAGACAAAAAAAGCACAGCACAACAGCAAAAAAGAAAAACGAGACAAGAAAAUAUUGUAUUUUUUCUUUAUUUUUCUCAUUCAGCUAUAAAGCCAUCUUCUUUUUCAAUUGUAUAGGAGGACGUUUUUUAUUAAGAACAGACGCAUAUAUGAAAAAAGAAAUCAAUUCAAAAAGAGUUUACCAAAGGUGAUUCGUAGAUUAUUUCUCUGUUCUUAUUCUUUUUUUUUUACUUUAUUUUGAAUCUAUUUGACGAAUCUAAAAAAAGAGAGGGUUUACUCACUAUUUUUGGUGUCGAUUUAGUCGACGUUGGCUCCUCCAGUCCAAGGGUUGACAGAUCUUUGUGGAUCUAGCUGAAACCGUGGUGGUGGAGGUGCGUUAGUCGCCGAUGAAGCCCACGAUCGACUCAGAGAGAAAGGUUAAAAGAUUUUGGUGAGAAAGGUUUUAAGUUUUUUUCUUGUUUGUUUUUGAAGGAAUAGUCGGCUGAAUGAGUAUUUUAGGUUUUGUUUUUUCUUUAUAUAUGAUAAUAAAACGGCGCCGUUUACAACAAGAAGGGUCUGUGCGUCAACCCGAUUAACAGGCCGGAUCUGGGCCUUUUCAUUCGAAGUGGGGAAUUUGCACGUUAGAUCCUUCCUUUCGCGCGAGCAUUCAAUUGCGCCCUAUUUGUUUUUACUUUUUUUUAAUUUGGCUCUUUAAUUCGUGCUCGUAUUCAUUUGAGUCCGCGGUACUUCACUGCUUUUUGGGGCCUGGAUUAUUUCUAGUUUUAGUCCUUACACAUUUGCGCCCAUUGCAUAUUGUUUUUUUUUAUUUUAUUUUUAAAUUGACCUUCUUAUUUUAAUUCUAUUUUAAUUUAGUUCUCUAUUUGUACAACCUACCAUUUUAAUAUAGUUAAUAUUUUAGCUGAUCUGUUUUAAUUAUUUUAUUUUUUUAUUUGAAC
Molecule: long non-coding RNA, 1708 nt
Filed under: Gossypium barbadense (sea-island cotton)
Lineage: Eukaryota; Viridiplantae; Streptophyta; Magnoliopsida; Malvales; Malvaceae
Description: long non-coding RNA (GBAR_LNC009409)
Source: RNAcentral